CAGAGGUCCCAAGCGUUGUUCGGAUUCACUGGGCGUAAAGGGUGCGUAGGUGGUCAGGUAAGUCGGAUGUGAAAUCUCCGAGCUCAACUCGGAAACUGCAUUGGAAACUACCUGGCUCGAGGGUUGGAGGGGGGACUGGAAUGCUUGGUGUAGCAGUGAAAUGCGUAGAUAUCAAGCGGAACACCAGUGGCGAAGGCGAGUCCCUGGACAACUCCUGACACUGAUGCACGAAAGCUAGGGGAGCAAACAGGAUUAGAUACCCUGGUAGUCCUAGCCGUAAACGGUGCACGUUUGCUGUAAAAGGAAUCGACCCCUUUUGUGGCGUAGCCAACGCGCUAAACGUGCCGCCUGGGAAGUACGGUCGCAAGAUUA
This 372-nucleotide ribosomal RNA is filed under the name uncultured organism. RNAcentral describes it as "bacterial SSU rRNA". It matches the Rfam family "Bacterial small subunit ribosomal RNA", at positions 526 to 896 of the family's 1533-position model. The record is from RNAcentral.